RNAcentral lists this ribosomal RNA (515 nucleotides) under uncultured bacterium. Its description in RNAcentral is "bacterial SSU rRNA". It matches the Rfam family "Bacterial small subunit ribosomal RNA", at positions 16 to 518 of the family's 1533-position model. The record is from RNAcentral.
AUUCUGGCUCAGAUGAACGCUGGCGGCAGGCCUAACACAUGCAAGUCGAACGGUAACAGGAAGAAGCUUGCUCUUUGCUGACGAGUGGCGGACGGGUGAGUAAUGGUCUGGGAAACUGCCUGAUGAGGGGGGAUAACUACUGGAAACGGUAGCUAAUACCGCAUAACGUCGCAAGGACCAAAGAGGGGGACCUUCGGGCCUCUUGCCAUCGGAUGUGCCCAGAUGGGAUUAGCUAGUAGGUGGGGUAACGGCUCACCUAGGCGACGAUCCCUAGCUGGUCUGAGAGGAUGACCCAGCCACACUGGAACUGAGACACGGUCCAGACUCCUACGGGAGGCAGCAGUGGGGAAUAUUGCACAAUGGGCGCAAGCCUGAUGCAGCCAUGCCGCGUUGUAUGAAGAAGGCCUUCGGGUUGUAAAGUACUUUCAGCGGGGAGGAAGGGAGUAAAGUUAAUACCUUUGCUCAUUGACGUUACCCGCAGAAGAAGCACCGGCUAACUCCGUGCCAGCAGCAGC